UCGGCGCUGGCCGCGCUCCCCUCCACCUCCCCACCAUCUCCCCGCGCUGCCCGCGCUCCACCGUCUCGCGCUCCUGAUCGCUCCAGCUCCUCCCGGCCGCCCGGCGCCGCAGCCACGCGAGGUUGUAAAAAUCCAUGUGGGACCGCGCCGGGGCGAGCAUCGCUAAGGUAGGACUCCAGCUGUGAGAAGCAGAGAAGCGGGAAGCCAACUCCUCGACAAUGGGCUUAGAAGCAAAUCUCUGAGUGGAGUCAUUUCCUGGUACAGACUUCACAAAGAAUGUGCUGAGAAUUCUAGUCCGUGAAGGGAACAUUGGCUUAAGCCCUCACGUGGCCUAGCAUUUCUUCUCUUCAGUAGCACCACAUCACAGAAGAAAAAUGUACGGGAGCGCAAGAACAAUCAGCAAUCUGGAAGGCAGCCCUUCCAGGUCACCACGUCUGCCAAGGUCUCCUCGUUUGGGCCACCGAAGAACAAGCAGUGGGGGAGGGGGAGGGACAGGCAAGACUCUGUCUAUGGAGAAUAUCCAGUCCCUUAAUGCAGCCUAUGCUACAUCUGGACCCAUGUACUUGAGUGACCAUGAAGGGGUGGCAUCGACAACUUACCCAAAGGGAACCAUGACUCUGGGCAGGGCAACAAAUCGAGCGGUGUAUGGAGGCCGGGUCACAGCCAUGGGGAGUAGUCCCAACAUUGCUUCCGCUGGACUUUCCCACACAGAUGUCCUUUCCUAUACUGAUCAACAUGGAGGGCUGAGCGGCUCAUCACACCACCACCACCACCAGGUGCCCUCCAUGUUGAGGCAGGUAAGAGACAGCACGAUGUUGGAUCUUCAAGCCCAGCUCAAAGAGCUGCAGAGAGAGAAUGACCUCCUACGCAAGGAGCUUGACAUUAAGGACAGCAAACUGGGGUCUUCCAUGAACAGCAUCAAGACUUUCUGGAGUCCUGAGCUGAAGAAGGAGAGAGUCUUGAGGAAAGAGGAGGCAGCUCGCAUGUCUGUCCUCAAGGAGCAGAUGAGGGUUUCUCACGAAGAAAACCAGUUACUGGAUGCCAGAAGAACCAAGCAUCUGCAGUUGACCAUCCAGGCCCUUCAGGAUGAGCUGCGGACCCAGAGAGACCUCAACCACCUUCUGCAGCAAGAGAGCGGCAACCGAGGAGCCGAGCACUUCACCAUUGAGCUGACAGAGGAGAACUUCCGCAGGCUCCAAGCUGAGCACGACAGGCAGGCUAAGGAGCUGUUCCUUCUGCGGAAGACAUUGGAAGAAAUGGAGUUGAGAAUCGAAACACAGAAACAGACUCUCAAUGCCCGAGACGAGUCCAUUAAAAAGCUCCUGGAGAUGCUGCAGAGCAAGGGCUUGCCAUCGAAAAGCCUUGAAGAUGACAAUGAGCGCACACGGCGAAUGGCGGAGGCUGAGUCUCAGGUCAGCCACUUGGAAGUGAUUUUAGACCAGAAGGAGAAGGAAAACAUCCACCUGAGAGAGGAAUUGCACCGAAGAAGCCAACUUCAGCCGGAGCCAGCCAAGACGAAGGCUCUCCAGACUGUCAUCGAAAUGAAGGACACAAAAAUUGCUUCAUUGGAGCGUAACAUCCGGGACCUUGAGGAUGAGAUCCAGAUGUUAAAAGCCAAUGGUGUGCUCAACACAGAGGACCGGGAGGAGGAGAUCAAACAAAUCGAGGUGUACAAAAGCCACUCCAAGUUUAUGAAGACCAAGAUUGAUCAGCUGAAACAGGAACUUUCCAAGAAGGAGUCAGAACUUCUUGCCUUACAAACAAAGCUUGAAACCCUUAGCAAUCAAAAUUCAGAUUGCAAGCAACACAUUGAAGUGCUUAAAGAGUCGCUUACUGCCAAAGAACAGAGGGCUGCCAUCCUUCAGACUGAGGUAGAUGCACUGAGAUUACGGCUGGAAGAGAAAGAAUCUUUUCUCAAUAAGAAAACAAAACAGCUCCAAGACCUCACCGAAGAGAAGGGGACCCUAGCUGGAGAGAUCCGUGAUAUGAAAGAUAUGUUAGAAGUAAAGGAAAGGAAAAUCAAUGUUCUUCAGAAAAAAAUUGAAAACUUGCAAGAACAACUUAGGGAUAAGGACAAACAACUGACCAACCUGAAAGACAGAGUAAAGUCCCUUCAGACAGACUCCAGCAACACCGACACAGCUCUGGCCACACUGGAGGAGGCCUUGUCGGAAAAGGAGAGAAUAAUAGAGCGCUUGAAAGAGCAGAGGGAGAGAGAUGAUCGGGAAAGACUAGAAGAGAUAGAAUCCUUUCGAAAGGAGAACAAAGACCUCAAAGAGAAGGUCAAUGCUUUACAGGCUGAGCUGACAGAGAAAGAGUCCAGUUUAAUCGACCUCAAAGAACAUGCAUCCUCGUUAGCUUCCGCAGGACUGAAGAGGGACUCCAAACUGAAGUCUCUAGAAAUAGCCAUUGAACAAAAGAAGGAGGAAUGUAACAAACUGGAGGCACAGUUAAAAAAGCAAGCUGAACAGUUGUUCAAUCAGAUGUACAAUCCAGCGCAUAAUAUUGAAGAUGACUCCAGGAUGAACCCCGAGUUUGCAGACCGACUGAAACAACUUGACAAGGAAGCAUCUUACUACCGAGAUGAGUGUGGCAAGGCUCAAGCAGAAGUGGACAGGUUGCUGGAGAUCCUCAAGGAGGUGGAGAAUGAGAAAAACGACAAAGACAAGAAGAUCGCAGAACUGGAGAGCUUGACUCUCAGGCACAUGAAAGAUCAGAAUAAGAAGGUAGCCAACCUCAAGUACAACCAACAGCUGGAGAAGAAGAAGAAUGCCCAGUUGUUAGAAGAAGUGCGCCGGCGAGAAGAUAGCAUGGUUGACAACUCACAGCAUUUGCAGAUUGAGGAGCUGAUGAAUGCCUUGGAGAAAACCAGGCAGGAACUGGAUGCCACCAAAGCACGCCUCGCCUCUACCCAGCAAUCUCUGGCUGAAAAAGAAGCGCACCUGGCCAACCUCCGGAUUGAGAGGAGGAAACAGCUAGAGGAGAUCCUGGAGAUGAAACAGGAAGCACUACUUGCGGCCAUCAGUGAAAAGGACGCAAACAUUGCCUUGCUGGAGUUAUCUGCCUCCAAAAAGAAAAAGACCCAGGAGGAAGUCAUGGCUCUGAAGCGGGAGAAGGACCGACUGGUGCAUCAGUUAAAGCAGCAGGUCUAUAGGUCUAGGAAACAGCCCCCGUGCUCAAAUAUUCCGUGCACUUGUGAUGCUGGCUACAGCCCAGAUUUUACGGCCAAGUACCACGGGUCCAGCUACGAUGCAUACAUGGGCCAAAGGUCUCAGACCCAGAACAGGAUGAAGCUGAUGGCAGACAAUUACGAUGAAGACCAUCACCAUUACCACCACCACCACCAUCACCACCACCACCGGUCUCCUGGGAGGUCACAGCAUUCCAACCACAGGCCCUCUCCAGACCAGGAUGACGAGGAGGGCAUAUGGGCAUAGCCGGGCCUGUAAACCAAAGUUCCAGUUUUGUUUUGAGGGAUGAUCCAGCUCUGUCGGAGGCACGUGUAGGCACAGCCAAAUCUCAUGCUGUACAUUGAUCACCUGUCCAACCUUUGCCUAGAGUGGGAGCCCCCAGUUCCUUCAAGAGAUCCAACUUUACCUGUCUGUAAAGAAGAAGAGGAGGAGGGAGACAGCAGGGAGGAUCCGGUGGCAUUGUGACAUCGGAGCGGGUCCAGUGUUCACUUUUACCCUUUUGGAGCUGUCAGAAGGGUUGGCUAAAAGAAUAGCUCAGCACUGCAGCAGUAUCCUGAUAAUCUAUUGCAGCCUGGCUCUCCUCACUGUCUACCAGCGGCGGCCGGCCGUGGCAGCAGGUCUGAAAGGAAGGGGAGUUUUUGCCUUCACUUUCCUGCUCAAUUCUGUUCUCCUCGAUUGAUUUGAGUGUAAGGGAAAGAAAGAGUACGAAGAAGGAGAAAAUGACAACCCCUUCGUUUUCUAACAAGGAUUUGGACCUUUACGAAGCGAGCAUCUCUGCGGAAAGCUGCGCGUGGCAAGCGUUUUGUUCCUGUUGCUUUGCCUCUUGGGUACAUGGGCGCUACACGUGAUUCAGACUGCAGAUCCAUUUUCAGUUGGACAGCUAGCUCCCGUCUCCCGUCAUCCUGCUGGUCAGUCUAAGUGGUCCUAACACAUUAGAUUAUCAGACAAUCUAAGCUUGCUGUGAACAAGUGCUGCUGCUGGUGUUUGUAUACCAUGGUGCAUGGAGUGUUUGACAAAGAAACCAAGAGACCAAAAAUUGAGAGCCUUUACCCUCCUCCGUCUCUUUAAUCUGUCGGUUAAGGAACCACAUUGAACGGUAUUAUCAGUAGUUACCUCUGGGCCAGGUUGGAAAUGAAAUCAAUUUUUUUAAACCACUAGUAACUUGCCAAGAAAUCGCCUUAUGAGAACAUGGUGUGUGUCUCUGACAGUGCAUGGCACAUCUAAAUUGGUCAUUCGUAAUUUUAUUGUCCUGCUCAUGUACCAGAGAAUGACAAAAGCCUGUGGCACCUGAAUAUCCACUCCACAUGCUCCUUGAACCCCUCGGCUGGGACAUGACCUGGCCUCAGGCUCUUCUCUUUCUCAUACAUGCAGGUCUCCAUGACAAAGCUGAGGUUCGUUCAUGUUUCGAGAUCCAAACGCUGUGCAAGCAAUGUGAGCCUGGAUCUCCUCUAAAUGAAAGGUCACUUCUCAGUCCUUUUAUUGUUUUGUUUUAAGAAAAUGUCUCCAACAUGGAUUCCAAAGCAUUUUCAGCAUCCAACAUGAAAACAUUGAUGAAUGAAGAGCAAUCACAAAAGCUGUAUGUCUGUAAAUAGUAUUAUACAACCUGUGUGGAAACAGAGUCCUUAUCUUAAAGCACAUGCCAGGGAAAGAGACCGCACUCCAAGGUCUUUUGCAUACAGUGACAAGGUACUAAGGAGAGUUCAACUCCUGCUGCUUCCUCUGAAGAUUAAAGAGUAUUUAUUAGUCCUUACAACUCCGUAAAACACACACAACCGAGCCUGGUAAAUGUGCAGCUCUUGUACUGACCCAUUUUCCUGUCAAUGGGAGAAACCCUCCCACCCACCUGCAUUCCUAAAGGACAAACAAUGAAUUUAAGCAUGAGUGGCCUUAAUAAAUACCCUUGUCUUUCUUUGCUGCUGUGGAAAGGGUUCUAAGCAGAAGUUGCUGAAAUCUUGCAUUGACUCUAAUCAUUAUGACUUUCAAAAAUGUUGGUGCAAUUAACUCUGGACCUCUCUCAUGAGCCAUAGAGAUAUUUAAAAGACAAACCCCAUAUUUGCUGGGGAAAGAAACUGUCCCUGGACUGCACACGUUAUUCCUGGUGCACCGGGGGUGAUGUACUCAAGCCGGUUUCUUGCUUUGGGCUUCAUUCUUGUCAGUAAAUAGUGACCUGUGUAAAGCUUAUGUGUUACAUAAAUGAUCCAAAUACAUUCAUGUUUAAAAAAGUUUGUCCUUUAACUAUCAAAAGAAUAGGUCUUUGUUACAGAAGGGAGCAGGGUUCUUUGCAAGUUUAUUUAGUACAUUUUGGCAGAAGGGUGCAGUGAAAACCUAAGCCACAGACAAGUCCCUAGGUACGGCUUGGAUGUGGUCAGAGAAGCCCUCAUGGCUUCCGACCACCAGGUCCUGACCUGAACUCUGCACCUAAAUACUUGAAAUUGAAAGUAGAAGAACCAGGAUGGCAAGCAGGGUCCUUGAAGUAGCAGCAAAGGGAUCAACUCUGUGGUCAGCUGUCUCUGCAUUCGUGCCAAUUUUGACACAGCUCAUGUUUGGGGAUCAUUUCUUUGCCCCACUUUUGCUGGUUGAAAGUAUUAUCGAUCUUACUUUCAUGCAAGCAUAUCAUUCAGUCCCUGCAAAAUCCAAUUCUAUCUAAGAUAGCAUCUUUUCCCAUUUUGUGUACCAUUCUCCAAUAUUUGGGAGUUCCACCAAAAAUAUCCCUUUCCACACACUGCAAAUUGUGUCUGGGUUUACAACAAACACUGUGUUGUUCAGAAGAUAUUUCCUUUGUGAAAACUUUAGCAGGUUCCCUUCUAAUCAUAGUGUAGUUGAAAUUAAACAAACAAACAAAAAGAAGUUUGGGCUAACAUUUAGGAGAAGUUGGUCUAAGUCUCACUUUGUGUAAAAGCAGGCUUGUAUUUAUAACCUAUUUGAUUUCUAUAUACAGUCUCAAUUUUGUAUUUAAUGAUUUUUGUGUAUUAAGUAUGCACGUUCACAGCGUGUCAACUUUCAUUUGGAAGUGGGUUUUAUUUUUUAAACAGUGUUUAUGAUGAGCCCUCAAGCGUAUUGAUAUAAGCUCUAGCUGCACCGUCUUUGUGUAGAGCGCCGUUUGAAUGCUGCCAAGGGUCCGUGUAUCUCAUUCCCCGAGACCCUUGUUUGAUAGUGCUUCUUGUAAUAUUUCUUCAAGUGAGUGGCAUGUGGGUUGUGAUAUUGAUCCAUGUGAUUAUGGACAUUGAUAUGAAAAAAAUUUAAAAAAUAAAUAAAUAAAAUUAAGGAACCCUCGAAACUACCACUGGGCAUGUAUCAGCCAGUCAUUGUAACCUCUUGUCUAGUAGAAUACCCAUGUGCAAGGUAUGUACAGCUCAUAACUUUGUACUGUGUGUAUGAGGAGUACUUUGUGCUGAUUGUCUUCUUUAUAUUCAUCAAAUAAACCUUGUUUCUUUCCGAAG
Non-coding RNA from Mus caroli (Ryukyu mouse), 6631 nucleotides. The record is from RefSeq and is a predicted model, not a curated record. Lineage: Eukaryota; Metazoa; Chordata; Mammalia; Rodentia; Muridae.